This 465-nucleotide ribosomal RNA is filed under the name Vreelandella stevensii. Its description in RNAcentral is "partial 16S ribosomal RNA". It matches the Rfam family "Bacterial small subunit ribosomal RNA", at positions 338 to 795 of the family's 1533-position model. The record is from RNAcentral. Lineage: Bacteria; Pseudomonadati; Pseudomonadota; Gammaproteobacteria; Oceanospirillales; Halomonadaceae.
CCUACGGGGGGCAGCAGUGGGGAAUAUUGGACAAUGGGGGGAACCCUGAUCCAGCCAUGCCGCGUGUGUGAAGAAGGCCCUCGGGUUGUAAAGCACUUUCAGUGAGGAAGAACGCCUGGUGGUUAAUACCCAUCAGGAAAGACAUCACUCACAGAAGAAGCACCGGCUAACUCCGUGCCAGCAGCCGCGGUAAUACGGAGGGUGCGAGCGUUAAUCGGAAUUACUGGGCGUAAAGCGCGCGUAGGUGGCUUGAUAAGCCGGUUGUGAAAGCCCCGGGCUCAACCUGGGAACGGCAUCCAGAACUGUCAAGCUAGAGUGCAGGAGAGGAAGGUAGAAUUCCCGGUGUAGCGGUGAAAUGCGUAGAGAUCGGGAGGAAUACCAGUGGCGAAGGCGGCCUUCUGGACUGACACUGACACUGAGGUGCGAAAGCGUGGGUAGCAAACAGGAUUAGAUACCCCAGUAGUC